This 235-nucleotide ribosomal RNA is filed under the name uncultured bacterium. RNAcentral describes it as "partial 16S ribosomal RNA". It matches the Rfam family "Bacterial small subunit ribosomal RNA", at positions 337 to 586 of the family's 1533-position model. The record is from RNAcentral.
ACCUACGGGGCGCAGCAGUGGGGAAUAUUGGGAAAUGGAGGAAACUCUUACCCAGCAAUGCCGCGUGAAUGAAGAAGGUCUUCGGAUUGUAAAGUUCUUUAAUUGGGGACGAAAAAAAUGACGGUACCCAAGGAAUAAGCCCCGACAAACUACGUGCCAGAAGCCGCGGUAAUACGUAGGGGGCAAGGGUUGUUCGGAAUGACUGGGGGUAAAGGGGGCGUAGGCGGGGUAGCAA